UUUAUCGGAGAGUUUGAUCCUGGCUCAGGACGAACGCUGGCGGCGUGCCUAAUACAUGCAAGUCGAGCGGACAGAUGGGAGCUUGCUCCCUGAUGUUAGCGGCGGACGGGUGAGUAACACGUGGGUAACCUGCCUGUAAGACUGGGAUAACUCCGGGAAACCGGGGCUAAUACCGGAUGGUUGUCUGAACCGCAUGGUUCAGACAUAAAAGGUGGCUUCGGCUACCACUUACAGAUGGACCCGCGGCGCAUUAGCUAGUUGGUGAGGUAACGGCUCACCAAGGCAACGAUGCGUAGCCGACCUGAGAGGGUGAUCGGCCACACUGGGACUGAGACACGGCCCAGACUCCUACGGGAGGCAGCAGUAGGGAAUCUUCCGCAAUGGACGAAAGUCUGACGGAGCAACGCCGCGUGAGUGAUGAAGGUUUUCGGAUCGUAAAGCUCUGUUGUUAGGGAAGAACAAGUGCCGUUCAAAUAGGGCGGCACCUUGACGGUACCUAACCAGAAAGCCACGGCUAACUACGUGCCAGCAGCCGCGGUAAUACGUAGGUGGCAAGCGUUGUCCGGAAUUAU
Molecule: ribosomal RNA, 572 nt
Filed under: Bacillus velezensis
Lineage: Bacteria; Bacillati; Bacillota; Bacilli; Caryophanales; Bacillaceae
Description: bacterial SSU rRNA
Rfam family: Bacterial small subunit ribosomal RNA
Source: RNAcentral